This is a non-coding RNA of Candidatus Micrarchaeota archaeon CG1_02_60_51, 74 nucleotides long. NCBI's taxonomy places the organism in Archaea, Nanobdellati, Microcaldota. The record is from Rfam.
GCCGCAGUAGCUUAGCCUGGGAGAGCGAUCGGCUGAAGACCGAUAGAUCGGGAGUUCAAAUCUCCCCUGCGGCA